This 492-nucleotide ribosomal RNA is filed under the name uncultured bacterium. RNAcentral describes it as "partial 16S ribosomal RNA". It matches the Rfam family "Bacterial small subunit ribosomal RNA", at positions 30 to 507 of the family's 1533-position model. The record is from RNAcentral.
AUUGAACGCUGGCGGCAGGCUUAACACAUGCAAGUCGAACGGCAGCGCAGUAAGAGCUUGCUCUUACGGGUGGCGAGUGGCGGACGGGUGAGGAAUACAUCGGAAUCUACUUUUUCGUGGGGGAUAACGUAGGGAAACUUACGCUAAUACCGCAUACGACCUACGGGGGAAAGCAGGGGAUCUUCGGACCUUGCGCGAUUGAAUGAGCCGAUGUCGGAUUAGCUAGUUGGCGGGGUAAAGGCCCACCAAGGCGACGAUCCGUAGCUGGUCUGAGAGGACGAUCAGCCACACUGGAACUGAGACACGGUCCAGACUCCUACGGGAGGCAGCAGUGGGGAAUAUUGGACAAUGGGGGCAAGCCUGAUCCAGCCAUACCGCGUGGGUGAAGAAGGCCUUCGGGUUGUAAAGCGCUUUUGUUGGGGAAGAAAAGCAGUAGGCUAAUACCCCGCGGGUCUGACGGUACCGGAAGAAUAAGCACCGGCUAACUACGUG